AGCAGCCGCGGUAAUUCCAGCUCCAAUAGCGUAUAUUAAAGUUGCUGCAGUUAAAAAGCUCGUAGUUGAAUUUCGGGAUCAAGUCGUCGGUCGUGCUCAGGUACGUACUGGCGUCAUUGAUUUCUCCCUUCUGACGAACCAUGAUGUCAUUAACUUGGUGUCAUGGGAAAUCAGGACUGUUACUUUGAAAAAUUAGAGUGUUUAAAGCAGGCUCACGCUUGAAUACAUUAGCAUGGAAUAAUGAAAUAGGACGUUCGAUCCUAUUUUGUUGGUUUUAGGAUCAACGUAAUGAUUAAUAGGGAUAGUUGGGGGCAUUAGUAUUCAAUUGUCAGAGGUGAAAUUCUUGGAUUUAUUGAAGACUAACUACUGCGAAAGCAUUUGCCAAGGAUGUUUUCAUUAAUCAAGAACGAAAGUUAGGGGAUCGAAGACGAUCAGAUACGUCGUAGUCUUAACCAUAAACUAUGCCGACUAGGGAUCGGAUGAUGUUAAUUUUUUAAUGACUCAGUUC
This 508-nucleotide ribosomal RNA is filed under the name uncultured Glomus. RNAcentral's name for it is "SSU rRNA". It matches the Rfam family "Eukaryotic small subunit ribosomal RNA", at positions 569 to 1082 of the family's 1831-position model. The record is from RNAcentral. Lineage: Eukaryota; Fungi; Glomeromycota; Glomeromycetes; Glomerales; Glomeraceae.